CCCCACAUAGACCCCUUCAACUGUACUGAGAACUUCUAUAACACUAUAGAACCUUUAAUGCUAAAACUAGUAACAAGAGUUACCCCCUCUCCACAAUGCAAGUAUAAGCCAGCAAGAACCCACCACUGGCAACUAACAGACCUAAACAAAAGUAACAACUAUACCGGAAAACUCUACUUUACCCCCUGUUAACCUUACACCAGAGCAUUUCAAGAAAGAUUAAAAGAAAAAGAAGGAACUCGGCAAACAUUAGCCCCGCCUGUUUACCAAAAACAUCGCCUCUUGCCCAUAUAAGAGGUCUAGCCUGCCCAGUGACUCUUGUUCAACGGCCGCGGUAUCCUAACCGUGCGAAGGUAGCGUAAUCACUUGUCUUCUAAAUAAAGACCAGUAUGAAAGGCAUCACGAGGGCUAAACUGUCUCCUUUCCCUAAUCAGUGAACCUAAUCUCCCCGUGAAGAAGCGGGGAUUAUUAAAUAAGACGAGAAGACCCUGUGGAGCUUUAAACAUCACAACACCUGCCUUACACUUUAUCUACCCAGGUAUGCCCCCUUCCAGCACGCUGAUUGUAUGUUUUCGGUUGGGGUGACCGCGGAGAAAAACUAAUCCUCCGCAAUGAAAGGGAUCUUCCCUAAACAAUAAGCCACAACUUUAUGUAUCCAUAAAUUGACAUUCAUUGACCCAAUACAUUUGAUUAACGAACCAAGUUACCCCAGGGAUAACAGCGCAAUCCACUUCAAGAGCCCCUAUCGACAAGUGGGCUUACGACCUCGAUGUUGGAUCGGGGUAUCCUAGUGGUGCAGCCGCUACUAAAGGUUCGUUUGUUCAACGAUUAAAACCCUACGUGAUCU
Molecule: ribosomal RNA, 847 nt
Filed under: Pristimantis lasalleorum
Lineage: Eukaryota; Metazoa; Chordata; Amphibia; Anura; Strabomantidae
Description: partial 16S ribosomal RNA
Rfam family: Bacterial large subunit ribosomal RNA
Source: RNAcentral